This 490-nucleotide ribosomal RNA is filed under the name uncultured bacterium. RNAcentral describes it as "partial 16S ribosomal RNA". It matches the Rfam family "Bacterial small subunit ribosomal RNA", at positions 30 to 507 of the family's 1533-position model. The record is from RNAcentral.
AUUGAACGCUGGCGGCAGGCCUAACACAUGCAAGUCGAACGGUAACAGGAAGCAGCUUGCUGCUUUGCUGACGAGUGGCGGACGGGUGAGUAAUGUCUGGGAAACUGCCUGAUGGAGGGGGAUAACUACUGGAAACGGUAGCUAAUACCGCAUAACGUCGCAAGACCAAAGAGGGGGACCUUAGGGCCUCUUGCCAUCGGAUGUGCCCAGAUGGGAUUAGCUAGUAGGUGGGGUAACGGCUCACCUAGGCGACGAUCCCUAGCUGGUCUGAGAGGAUGACCAGCCACACUGGAACUGAGGCACGGUCCAGACUCCUACGGGAGGCAGCAGUGGGGAAUAUUGCACGAUGGGCGCAAGCCUGAUGGAGCCAGGCCGCGUGUAUGAAGAAGGCCUUCGGGUUGUAAAGUACUUUCAGCGGGGAGGAAGGGAGUAAAGUUAAUACCUUUGCUCAUUGACGUUACCCGCAGAAGAAGCACCGGCUAACUCCGUG